UCGUCCAACCGCCGACACCCAUCCACUCUGGGCUCUCUAAAUCCCACAUUCCCACAAUGCACCUUGGUAACGCCACUCUCCUCUGUCCCUAAUCCCCCUAUUCCCUUCCCUCAGGUUCUCCUGGACACCCCAACCCACAGUCAGGCCUCCACAUACAUCCCACUCAUUUACAUACUGAGCCAGUUCUUCAGGGACCCCCACAGCCCAGCAAACUUCUCCAUCCAUGAGCCCCAUGGACCUGUGGCCAGGAAGGGUGAGGUGUGGUUUUGGCCGAAGAUGAGGUGUUUUGGUAGCCCUGUGGAUGCUGUGUGGUGUCUGGAAUGGGGCGUGUGUGUUCCCAUCAUGCCCCUUCCCCUCUGCCUGCAGAGCUGAGGACAGACAGGUCUGAGGAGCAGAGCAGGAGCUCUGGGAAGGAGAAGAGCAAUAUGAAGAUGGAGUCUAAGAUGAGACCAGGGAAAAGAAGUCAUGGGGACGGAGUCCAGCCCUGAGGUGAGAUGGAAAGUGAUCAAGAGCAGUGACAGCGUGAAUCCUGUUGAUGCCAGGCAAGAGCUGCCCAACUGGGACAAGAGUAACCGUCCCUGUCGGUGAGAUGUGUAUCUGGUUUGGGAAGGAUUCUGGUCACAGCCGUACUGGCUCCAGGCAGGGACUUCCCGUUACCUGGGUGUGGGUUUCCGGACUAGCUGUGGCUUCAGGGGAGAUGAUGUUGCCAUUUGCGAGAGCUGAUCAUCUCUCUGGCCAGGAGUGGUGUGUGCUCCCUAGCAGAAAGUUGGAUCCAUGAGGGUGACUCCCUGUUGUGAAUUUCUUUCGUCCUCCUAGGUUUCUCUCUCUGUGUUGGCCAACUUUCACUCAAACUCUCUCUCUCUCCUUUCAUGGACACCUGUCAUGAAA
This is a long non-coding RNA of Gopherus evgoodei (Goodes thornscrub tortoise), 888 nucleotides long. RefSeq lists it as uncharacterized. NCBI's taxonomy places the organism in Eukaryota, Metazoa, Chordata, Testudines, Testudinidae. The transcript has 3 exons. The record is from RefSeq and is a predicted model, not a curated record.